RNAcentral lists this small RNA (727 nucleotides) under Pongo abelii (Sumatran orangutan). Its description in RNAcentral is "processed transcript". The record is from RNAcentral. Lineage: Eukaryota; Metazoa; Chordata; Mammalia; Primates; Hominidae.
AGUCGCUGCACAGUCUGUCUCUUCGCCGGUUCCCGAUCCCGUGGAUCCUACUUCUCUGUCGCCCGCGGUUCGCCGCCCCGCUCGCCGCCGCGAUGCCAGUGUUUCAUACGCGCACGAUCGAGAGCAUCCUGGAGCCGGUGGCACAGCAGAUCUCCCACCUGGUGAUAAUGCACGAGGAGGGCGAGGUGGACGGCAAAGCCAUUCCUGACCUCACAGCGCCCGUGGCCGCCGUGCAGGCGGCCGUCAGCAACCUCGUCCGGGUUGGAAAAGAGACUGUUCAAACCACUGAGGAUCAGAUUUUGAAGAGAGAUAUGCCACCAGCAUUUAUUAAGCAUUCAGGCCUCAGUGAAGACGGCCCGAGAACUCACACCCCAGGUGGUCUCGGCUGCUCGUAUCUUACUUAGGAACCCUGGAAAUCAAGCUGCUUAUGAACAUUUUGAGACCAUGAAGAACCAGUGGAUCGAUAAUGUUGAAAAAAUGACAGGGCUGGUGGACGAAGCCAUUGAUACCAAAUCUCUGUUGGAUGCUUCAGAAGAAGCAAUUAAAAAAGACCUGGACAAGUGCAAGGUAGCUAUGGCCAACAUUCAGCCUCAGAUGCUGGUUGCUGGGGCAACCAGCAUUGCUCGUCGGGCCAACCGGAUCCUGCUGGUGGCUAAGAGGGAGGUGGAGAAUUCCGAGGAUCCCAAGUUCCGUGAGGCUGUGAAAGCUGCCUCUGAUGAAUUGAGCA